This is a long non-coding RNA of Oncorhynchus tshawytscha (Chinook salmon), 607 nucleotides long. NCBI's taxonomy places the organism in Eukaryota, Metazoa, Chordata, Actinopteri, Salmoniformes, Salmonidae. The record is from Ensembl.
AGGUAGGAACUAUAGGGACUGUAGGUAGGUAGGGACUGUAGGGACUGUAGGUAGGUAGUGACUGUAGGUAGGUAGGAACUGUAGGGACUGUAGGUAGGUAGGGGCUGUAGGGACUGUAGGUAGGUAGGGACUGUAGGUAGGUAGGUACUGUAGGGACUGUAGGUAGGUAGUGACUGUAGGGAAUGUAGGUAGGUAGGGACUGUAGGGACUGUAGGUAGGUAGUGACUGUAGGUAGGUAGUGACUGUAGGGAAUGUAGGUAGGUAGGGACUGUAGGUAGGUAGGGACUAUAGGGACUGUAGGUAGAUAGUGACUGUAGGGACUGUAGGUAGAUAGUGACUGUAGCGACUGUAGGUAGGUAGUGACUGUAGGUAGGUAGGGACUGUAGGUAGAUAGUGACUGUAGGGACUGUAGGUAGAUAGUGACUGUAGCGACUGUAGGUAGGUAGUGACUGUAGGUAGGUAGGGACUGUAGGGAUUGUAGGUAGGUAGGGACUGUAGGUAGGUAGUGACUGUAGGGACUGUAGGGACUGUAGGUAGGUAGGGACUGCAGGGACUGUAGGUAGGUAGGGACUGUAGGGACUGUAGGUAGGUAGGUACUGUAGGUAGG